Molecule: ribosomal RNA, 828 nt
Filed under: uncultured bacterium
Lineage: Bacteria
Description: bacterial SSU rRNA
Rfam family: Bacterial small subunit ribosomal RNA
Source: RNAcentral
AGAGUUUGAUCCUGGCUCAGGACGAACGCUGGCGGCGUGCCUAACACAUGCAAGUCGAACGAAGUAAGUUGCUUCACCAAAUGUUGAAAAGCUACCCCAAGCGCAUUUGCCCGAGGGGAGCGAAAAAUAAUUAAGUAUCAAUGAGAUGGUGAAACAACAAGGUAUGGAUAGAGAGAAGCAAAUGCGCUUCACGCUAUUUCCAAGUGCCAACACCAUAUAUACCAAUUCAAUAUUUGGUGAAGUAACUUACUUAGUGGCGGACGGGUGAGUAACGCGUGAAUAAUCUGCCCCAUACAGGGGGAUAGCCUCGGGAAACCGGGAUUAAAACCGCAUGACACUUUUUUAUCGCAUGAUAGAAAAGUCAAAUCGAUUAAGAGGUAUGGGAUGAGUUCGCGUCUGAUUAGCUGGUUGGCGGGGUAAGAGCCCACCAAGGCGACGAUCAGUAGCCGGCCUGAGAGGGUGACCGGCCACACUGGAACUGAGACACGGUCCAGACUCCUACGGGAGGCAGCAGUGGGGAAUAUUGCACAAUGGGGGAAACCCUGAUGCAGCGACGCCGCGUGAGUGAAGAAGGUCUUCGGGUCGUAAAACUCUGUCCUUGGUGACGAAAGAAAUGACGGUAACCAAGGAGGAAGCCCCGGCUAACUACGUGCCAGCAGCCGCGGUAAUACGUAGGGGGCGAGCGUUGUCCGGAUUUACUGGGCGUAAAGGGUGAGUAGGCGGUCAUAUAAGUCAGGUGUAAAAGGCUAAGGCUUAACCAUAGUUAGCACUUGAAACUGUAUGACUUGAGUGCAGGAGAGGUAAGCGGAAUUCCUAGUGUAGCGGUGA